This 465-nucleotide ribosomal RNA is filed under the name Vreelandella stevensii. RNAcentral describes it as "partial 16S ribosomal RNA". It matches the Rfam family "Bacterial small subunit ribosomal RNA", at positions 338 to 795 of the family's 1533-position model. Lineage: Bacteria; Pseudomonadati; Pseudomonadota; Gammaproteobacteria; Oceanospirillales; Halomonadaceae. The record is from RNAcentral.
CCUACGGGUGGCUGCAGUGGGGAAUAUUGGACAAUGGGCGAAAGCCUGAUCCAGCCAUGCCGCGUGUGUGAAGAAGGCCUUCGGGUUGUAAAGCACUUUCAGUGGGGAAGAAAUCCUUGGGGCUAAUACCCUCGAGGAAGGACAUCACCCACAGAAGAAGCACCGGCUAACUCCGUGCCAGCAGCCGCGGUAAUACGGAGGGUGCGAGCGUUAAUCGGAAUUACUGGGCGUAAAGCGCGCGUAGGCGGUUUGAUAAGCCGGUUGUGAAAGCCCCGGGCUCAACCUGGGAACGGCAUCCGGAACUGUCAGGCUAGAGUGCAGGAGAGGAAGGUAGAAUUCCCGGUGUAGCGGUGAAAUGCGUAGAGAUCGGGAGGAAUACCAGUGGCGAAGGCGGCCUUCUGGAAUGACACUGACGCUGAGGUGCGAAAGCGUGGGUAGCAAACAGGAUUAGAUACCCGAGUAGUC